This 463-nucleotide ribosomal RNA is filed under the name uncultured bacterium. RNAcentral's name for it is "bacterial SSU rRNA". It matches the Rfam family "Bacterial small subunit ribosomal RNA", at positions 198 to 644 of the family's 1533-position model. The record is from RNAcentral.
GGAGGAAAGCAGGGGAUCGAAAGACCUUGUGCUUUUGGAGCGGCCGAUGUCUGAUUAGCUAGUUGGUGGGGUAAAGGCCUACCAAGGCGACGAUCAGUAGUUGGUCUGAGAGGACGACCAGCCACACUGGGACUGAGACACGGCCCAGACUCUACGGGAGGCAGCAGUGGGGAAUUUUGGACAAUGGGCGCAAGCCUGAUCCAGCAAUGCCGCGUGAGUGAAGAAGGCUUCGGGUUGUAAAGCUCUUUCAGUCGAGAAGAAAAAGCUGUGGUGAAUAACUGCGGUUUAUGACGGUAUCGACAGAAGAAGCACCGGCUAACUACGUGCCAGCAGCCGCGGUAAUACGUAGGGUGCGAGCGUUAAUCGGAAUUACUGGGCGUAAAGGGUGCGCAGGCGGUUUUGUAAGUCAGAUGUGAAAUCCCCGGGCUUAACCUGGGAAUUGCGUUUGAAACUACAAGGCUAG